Molecule: ribosomal RNA, 467 nt
Filed under: uncultured bacterium
Lineage: Bacteria
Description: partial 16S ribosomal RNA
Rfam family: Bacterial small subunit ribosomal RNA
Source: RNAcentral
GACGAACGCUGGCGGCGUGCUUAACACAUGCAAGUCGAACGGAAAGGCCUAGCUUGCUGGGUACUCGAGUGGCGAACGGGUGAGUAACACGUGGGUGAUCUGCCCCUGACUUUGGGAUAAGCCUGGGAAACUGGGUCUACUACCGGAUAUUCAUUUUUCCUCGCAUGGGGAUUUGUGGAAAGCUUUUGCGGUUGGGGAUGGGCCCGCGGCCUAUCAGCUUGUUGGUGGGGUAAUGGCCUACCAAGGCGACGACGGGUAGCCGACCUGAGAGGGUGAUCGGCCACACUGGGACUGAGACACGGCCCAGACUCCUACGGGAGGCAGCAGUGGGGAAUAUUGCACAAUGGGCGCAAGCCUGAUGCAGCGACGCCGCGUGAGGGAUGACGGCCUUCGGGUUGUAAACCUCUUUCAGCGCCGACGAAGCGCAAGUGACGGUAGGAGCAGAAGAAGCACCGGCCAACUACGUG